This 492-nucleotide ribosomal RNA is filed under the name uncultured bacterium. RNAcentral's name for it is "partial 16S ribosomal RNA". It matches the Rfam family "Bacterial small subunit ribosomal RNA", at positions 29 to 507 of the family's 1533-position model. The record is from RNAcentral.
AGUGAACGCUGGCGGUAGGCCUAACACAUGUAAGUCGAACGGCAGCACAGUAAGAGCUUGCUCUUACGGGUGGCGAGUAGCGGACGGGUGAGGAAUACAUCGGAAUCUACUUUUUCGUGGGGGAUAACGUAGGGAAACUUACGCUAAUACCGCAUACGACCUACGGGUGAAAGCAGGGGAUCUUCGGACCUUGCGCGAUUGAAUGAGCCGAUGUCGGAUUAGCUAGUUGGCGGGGUAAAGGCCCACCAAGGCGACGAUCCGUAGCUGGUCUGAGAGGAUGAUCAGCCACACUGGAACUGAGACACGGUCCAGACUCCUACGGGAGGCAGCAGUGGGGAAUAUUGGACAAUGGGCGCAAGCCUGAUCCAGCCAUACCGCGUGGGUGAAGAAGGCCUUCGGGUUGUAAAGCCCUUUUGUUGGGAAAGAAAAGCAGCAGGUUAAUACCCCGCUGUUCUGACGGUACCCAAAGAAUAAGCACCGGCUAACUUCGUG